Molecule: transfer RNA, 73 nt
Filed under: Candidatus Woesearchaeota archaeon
Lineage: Archaea; Nanobdellati; Candidatus Woesearchaeota
Description: tRNA-Gln
Rfam family: tRNA
About the family: Transfer RNA (tRNA) molecules are approximately 80 nucleotides in length. Their secondary structure includes four short double-helical elements and three loops (D, anti-codon, and T loops).
Source: RNAcentral
AGCCCUGUAGUACAGCGGUCAAGUAUAUAGCCCUUUGGAGGCUGUGACCCAGGUUCGAAUCCUGGCAGGGCUA